This 91-nucleotide transfer RNA is filed under the name Dehalococcoidia bacterium. RNAcentral's name for it is "tRNA-Ser". It matches the Rfam family "tRNA". From Rfam's summary of the family: Transfer RNA (tRNA) molecules are approximately 80 nucleotides in length. Their secondary structure includes four short double-helical elements and three loops (D, anti-codon, and T loops). The record is from RNAcentral. Lineage: Bacteria; Bacillati; Chloroflexota; Dehalococcoidia.
GGAGGGGUGGCCGAGCGGUUGAAGGCGGCGGUCUUGAAAACCGCUGUCCGGCUCUGUCGGACCGGGGGUUCGAAUCCCUCCCCCUCCGCCA